CCUACGGGAGGCAGCAGUGGGGAAUAUUGGACAAUGGGCGCAAGCCUGAUCCAGCCAUGCCGCGUGUGUGAAGAAGGCCUUCGGGUUGUAAAGCACUUUUGUCCGGAAAGAAAAGCCUAGGGUUAAUACCUUUGGGUUAUGACGGUACCGGAAGAAUAAGCACCGGCUAACUUCGUGCCAGCAGCCGCGGUAAUACGAAGGGUGCAAGCGUUACUCGGAAUUACUGGGCGUAAAGCGUGCGUAGGUGGUUCGUUAAGUCUGAUGUGAAAGCCCUGGGCUCAACCUGGGAAUGGCAUUGGAUACUGGCGACCUAGAGUGCGGUAGAGGGUAGCGGGAUUCCCGGUGUAGCAGUGAAAUGCGUAGAUAUCGGGAGGAACAUCCGUGGCGAAGGCGGCUACCUGGACCAGCACUGACACUGAGGCACGAAAGCGUGGGGAGCAAACAGGAUUAGAUACCCUGGUAGUCCACGCCCUAAACGAUGCGAACUGGAUGUUGGGUGCAACUUGGCACUCAGUAUCGAAGCUAACGCGUUAAGUUUGCCGCCUGGGAAGUACGGUCGCAAGACUGAAACUCAAAGGAAUUGACGG
RNAcentral lists this ribosomal RNA (587 nucleotides) under uncultured bacterium. Its description in RNAcentral is "bacterial SSU rRNA". It matches the Rfam family "Bacterial small subunit ribosomal RNA", at positions 338 to 916 of the family's 1533-position model. The record is from RNAcentral.